RNAcentral lists this ribosomal RNA (210 nucleotides) under uncultured Acaulospora. RNAcentral describes it as "partial small subunit ribosomal RNA". The stretch from base 39 to 210 matches the Rfam family "Eukaryotic small subunit ribosomal RNA", at positions 692 to 864 of the family's 1831-position model. Lineage: Eukaryota; Fungi; Glomeromycota; Glomeromycetes; Diversisporales; Acaulosporaceae. The record is from RNAcentral.
GGCCUGGUCGGGCUUAACUGUCCGUAUUGACUCGAUGGAUUCUUACCUUCUGAAUAACCAGCAUGCUAUUAAUUUAGUGCGUUGGGGAAGCAGAUCUAUUACCUUGAAAAAAUUAGAGUGCUUAAAGCGAGCUAGUGCUUGAAUAGAUUAGCAUGGAAUAAUAAAAUAGGACGGCAUGGUUCUAUUUUGUUGGUUUCUAGGAUCACCGUA